CAGAGUUCAUGCCCUCACGGGUAGAUCUCCCACCCUUGAAUAUUAUACCUUUGUUGCUUUGGCGGGCCGCUUCGGCUACUGGCUUCGGCUGGUGAGUGCCUGCCAGAGGACCCCAAACUCUGAAUUUAUAGUGUCGUCUGAGUACUAUAUAAUAGUUA
This 158-nucleotide unclassified non-coding RNA is filed under the name uncultured Helotiales. RNAcentral describes it as "sequence contains ITS1". The record is from RNAcentral. Lineage: Eukaryota; Fungi; Ascomycota; Leotiomycetes; Helotiales.